RNAcentral lists this transfer RNA (73 nucleotides) under Mycoplasmoides pneumoniae. Its description in RNAcentral is "Mycoplasma pneumoniae tRNA-Met". It matches the Rfam family "tRNA". Rfam says of the family: Transfer RNA (tRNA) molecules are approximately 80 nucleotides in length. Their secondary structure includes four short double-helical elements and three loops (D, anti-codon, and T loops). Further hydrogen bonds mediate the characteristic L-shaped molecular structure. tRNAs have two regions of fundamental functional importance: the anti-codon, which is responsible for specific mRNA codon recognition, and the 3' end, to which the tRNAs corresponding amino acid is attached (by aminoacyl-tRNA synthetases). tRNAs cope with the degeneracy of the genetic code in two manners: having more than one tRNA (with a specific anti-codon) for a particular amino acid; and 'wobble' base-pairing, i.e. permitting non-standard base-pairing at the 3rd anti-codon position. Lineage: Bacteria; Bacillati; Mycoplasmatota; Mycoplasmoidales; Mycoplasmoidaceae. The record is from RNAcentral.
GGAUACCUCAGUUGGUUAGAGGACCCGGUUCAUACCCGGGUUGUCGUGAGUUCGAAUCUCACUCCAGCCACCA